CUGUCCUCGAUCACCCUUUCAUCGGGUGUAUUAUAUUCUUCUCCUCAAGCAAUUUCCGGCUCAAAUUGACAAAGARCAGCCAUACUUCCAUAGCGAAAUUUGGCUGAUUCAGCUCCAGCUACCCAACAUGUUCCACUAUCUGACGUCAUCACAGCCCAGGCAUCCCAAGCCAUCAAAUCCGCGAUAUUCCACAGGGAGCCCAGCUUAAGUCAUUUCGCAACUUUGACGGACGAUAUCACCCCAAAAAACGCAUUUCAUGGAAUUUUCAUUUCGAUUUUCAAAAUCAACAAGGUUUGAUGUACAUUUUAAGCUAUGAUGUGUCUGGCACCUCAGAGUCCCUUUAAACAUUUUCUCGCUACAGUCCGUACACAGAAUGAACUGAUGACGUCGUGAUGCUAGUGUGUCGUUUGUUACUGGGUUGCUGGUUUCUCUAUUCGACAAAAUGGAAAAGUUGCGCAAUAUUACCCAUAUAUGGAUUGGAUGACGUGUCGAUACUUUCAUCUGCGAGUUCACAUGCAGGCUAUUGUGGAAUCGAAUCGUGCAUGUUCUUUGAGAAUAUGGGGCCAAAAUUUUAUAUCUUUAGCUUUUUAUCGGGACAUGAGCAAUGUCCAUCAUUACUAGUAAAGUUGGCGACCUUCAAUUUCACGCGGGUAGACUUUCAUCGCGGAGUUUUACUACUGAAGCGCUCUUAGAGCGUCUUGUUUAUUAAAUGGCCUGGCCAGAGAGCCUGGGCUAUAUUGACCGAUCACUACGUGACAUCAUUAUAAAAGUAAAGGGAGGAACGAUGGUUUCCACAUUUGGUGGACACUGCAAUGAAGCAAACACUAAGUAGGUCAGUCGUAAUCAAGGAACACAGUGGUAAUUUGGAGCUCGAAAAAAGUCUACCCUUGUGGAAACUGAACUCAACUGCUAAUUCUGUCGUUUUGCUUAGAAGAGUUACGCAAAAGGAAAUCAGUAAGUACUUCCAAAUUGAUCUAAAGUCCAUUGACAAAGCAGAUGAUGCGAGUCAGCACGAAGCGACUGAGAUGCCCUUCAAGACUUUUGUCAACAGUUUUCCUCUUCAAUCCAAGGUCAUAUUUAAAUUUUUCUAUAUCGAGCCUAUUUGCAUUUUCCUCUUCCUGUUUUAUUAAUCUUUAUGCCAAAUUAUUAAUCUCUAGACCAUAAUCCUUUUCACACUGCUUUUGCCCUCAGCUGCCUGCAUUAUACCUACGAAUGCUGCGUGCCGAAGUGAUUAUCUAGUAUAAUUAUUGUUCUUAUCAAAAUCCAAUUGUUUU
Long non-coding RNA from Actinia tenebrosa (Australian red waratah sea anemone), 1274 nucleotides. Lineage: Eukaryota; Metazoa; Cnidaria; Anthozoa; Actiniaria; Actiniidae. The record is from RefSeq and is a predicted model, not a curated record.